RNAcentral lists this non-coding RNA (28 nucleotides) under Rattus norvegicus (Norway rat). Lineage: Eukaryota; Metazoa; Chordata; Mammalia; Rodentia; Muridae. The record is from RNAcentral.
UGGACGCCUGACGCCCAACGUGGCAAGU